Molecule: long non-coding RNA, 212 nt
Filed under: Elaeis guineensis (African oil palm)
Lineage: Eukaryota; Viridiplantae; Streptophyta; Magnoliopsida; Arecales; Arecaceae
Description: long non-coding RNA (EGUI_LNC028106)
Source: RNAcentral
UUGGGUGAGCAUUCUAGAUCUAUUCUAAGGUUUUGGGAGAAGAAAUAUCUAAGAGAAAAAAAUUUCUUCUCUCCUUCUUUCUACACCACAUAUUCCUCCUAAUCUAUCUUUAGAUCUGGAGGAGUUCAAGAUGUCAGAAGAUAGAAGAUAGAUCAGCCAUCUAGAGGUCAUUAUGCGAGCUAGCACUCUCGAGAUGAUGGAUCAGAACAGGA